UACGAAGGGGGCUAGCGUUGCUCGGAAUCACUGGGCGUAAAGAGCUCGUAGGCGGCUCUUUAAGUCAGGGGUGAAAUCCUGGAGCUCAACUCCAGAACUGCCUUUGAUACUGGGGAUCUCGAGUCCGGGAGAGGUGAGUGGAACUCCGAGUGUAGAGGUGAAAUUCGUAGAUAUUCGGAAGAACACCAGUGGCGAAGGCGGCUCACUGGCCCGGUACUGACGCUGAGGUGCGAAAGCGUGGGGAGCAAACCGG
RNAcentral lists this ribosomal RNA (253 nucleotides) under uncultured bacterium. RNAcentral's name for it is "partial 16S ribosomal RNA". It matches the Rfam family "Bacterial small subunit ribosomal RNA", at positions 524 to 776 of the family's 1533-position model. The record is from RNAcentral.